Molecule: transfer RNA, 81 nt
Filed under: Parasitaxus usta
Lineage: Eukaryota; Viridiplantae; Streptophyta; Pinopsida; Araucariales; Podocarpaceae
Description: tRNA-Leu
Rfam family: tRNA
About the family: Transfer RNA (tRNA) molecules are approximately 80 nucleotides in length. Their secondary structure includes four short double-helical elements and three loops (D, anti-codon, and T loops). Further hydrogen bonds mediate the characteristic L-shaped molecular structure. tRNAs have two regions of fundamental functional importance: the anti-codon, which is responsible for specific mRNA codon recognition, and the 3' end, to which the tRNAs corresponding amino acid is attached (by aminoacyl-tRNA synthetases). tRNAs cope with the degeneracy of the genetic code in two manners: having more than one tRNA (with a specific anti-codon) for a particular amino acid; and 'wobble' base-pairing, i.e. permitting non-standard base-pairing at the 3rd anti-codon position.
Source: RNAcentral
GCCUUGAUGGUGAAAUGGUAGACACGCGAGACUCAAAAUCUCGUGCUAUAACGCGUGGAGGUUCGAGUCCUCUUCAAGGCA